This 539-nucleotide ribosomal RNA is filed under the name uncultured Chthoniobacter sp. RNAcentral's name for it is "bacterial SSU rRNA". It matches the Rfam family "Bacterial small subunit ribosomal RNA", at positions 1 to 517 of the family's 1533-position model. The record is from RNAcentral. Lineage: Bacteria; Pseudomonadati; Verrucomicrobiota; Spartobacteria; Chthoniobacterales; Chthoniobacteraceae.
ACAUACGCGUAGAGUUUGAUCAUGGCUCAGAACGAACGGUGGCGGCGUGGAUAAGACAUGCAAGUCGAACGGGAUUUUAUUUGUAGCAAUACAAGUAGAGUUCAGUGGCGUAAGGGUGCGUAACACGUGGGCAAUCUGCCCAGGGGUGCGGGAUAGCUCGGCGAAAGUCGAAUUAAUACCGCAUGUGGCUACCGAGGAAUUCCUCGGGACGCUAAAGACGGCGCAAGCUGUCGCUCCUGGAUGAGCCCGCGGCCUAUCAGCUAGUUGGCGGGGUAACAGCCCACCAAGGCUAUGACGGGUAGCUGGUCUGAGAGGACGACCAGCCACACUGGAACUGAGACACGGUCCAGACACCUACGGGUGGCAGCAGUCGAGAAUUUUUCUCAAUGGGGCAACCCUGAAGGAGCGACGCCGCGUGGAGGAUGAAGGCCUUCGGGUCGUAAACUCCUGUCAUUUGGGAACAAAACUUUGGUUUAACUGACCAAAGCUUGAUAGUACUAGAAGAGGAAGAGACGGCUAACUCUGUGGCCAGGCAGCCG